UCGACCGUACUUUACAGGAUCAUGUAUAUAGUACGUAACCCGUCUUUGUUUUCCAAACAAGACACAUUUACUAAGUUGGAUGAGGAUGGAGAGCACCGGUUCAUAGCGGGAAGUGAUAAUUACAUUUAUUUUUUUAAGUGAAUGUUUUUAGUUUGAAGAACGUGCCUAUCAAGUUUUUCCGUUGAUACGGCAAGAACUUGGUUGCCUUCUGACAACU
Molecule: small nucleolar RNA, 217 nt
Filed under: Neocallimastix californiae
Lineage: Eukaryota; Fungi; Neocallimastigomycota; Neocallimastigomycetes; Neocallimastigales; Neocallimastigaceae
Description: Small nucleolar RNA U3
Rfam family: Small nucleolar RNA U3
About the family: Small nucleolar RNAs (snoRNAs) are involved in the processing and modification of rRNA in the nucleolus.
Source: Rfam by way of RNAcentral